RNAcentral lists this ribosomal RNA (527 nucleotides) under uncultured bacterium. RNAcentral describes it as "bacterial SSU rRNA". It matches the Rfam family "Bacterial small subunit ribosomal RNA", at positions 775 to 1296 of the family's 1533-position model. The record is from RNAcentral.
AGUCAAUAGAUACCCCGGUAGUCCACGCCGUAAACGAUGUCGACUUGGAGGUUGUGCCCUUGAGGCGUGGCUUCCGGAGCUAAACGCGUUAAGUCGACCGCCUGGGGAGUACGGCCGCAAGGUUAAAACUCAAAUGAAUUGACGGGGGCCCGGCACAAGCGGUGGAGCAUGUGGUUUAAUUCGAUGCAACGCGAAGAACCUUACCUACUCUUGACAUCCAGAGAACUUAGCAGAGAUGCUUUGGUGCCUUCGGGAACUCUGAGACAGGUGCUGCAUGGCUGUCGUCAGCUCGUGUUGUGAAAUGUUGGGUUAAGUCCCGCAACGAGCGCAACCCUUAUCCUUUGUUGCCAGCGGUCCGGCCGGGAACUCAAAGGAGACUGCCAGUGAUAAACCUGGAGGAAGGCGGGGUAUGACGUCAAGUCAUCAUGGCCCUUACGAGUAGGGCUACACACGUGCUACAAUGGCGCAUACAAAGAGAAGCGACCUCGCGAGAGCAAGCGGACCUCAUAAAGUGCGUCGUAGUCCGG